CCCUUAGAUGUUCUGGGCCGCACGCGCGCUACACUGACGAUGGCAACGAGUUUUUCCUUCGCCGAAAGGUGUGGGUAAUCUUUUGAAACAUCGUCGUGCUGGGGAUAGAUCAUUGCAAUUUUUGAUCUUGAACGAGGAAUUCCUAGUAAGCGCGAGUCAUCAGCUCGCGUUGAUUACGUCCCUGCCCUUUGUACACACCGCCCGUCGCUACUACCGAUUGAAUGGUUUAGUGAGGACUCCUGAUUGGCGCCGCCGCCCCGGCAACGGAGCAGCGGACUGCCGAAAAGUUGUUCAAACCUGAUCAUUUAGAGGAAGUAAAAGUCGUAACA
Molecule: ribosomal RNA, 329 nt
Filed under: uncultured eukaryote
Lineage: Eukaryota
Description: partial 18S ribosomal RNA
Rfam family: Eukaryotic small subunit ribosomal RNA
Source: RNAcentral